RNAcentral lists this ribosomal RNA (489 nucleotides) under uncultured bacterium. RNAcentral's name for it is "partial 16S ribosomal RNA". It matches the Rfam family "Bacterial small subunit ribosomal RNA", at positions 28 to 507 of the family's 1533-position model. The record is from RNAcentral.
GACGAACGCUGGCGGCGUGCUUAACACGUGCAAGUCGAACGGAAAGGCCCCCACCUUGGUGGGGGUGCUCGAGUGGCGAACGGGUGAGUAACACGUGGGUGAUCUGCCCUGUACUUCGGGAUAAGCUUGGGAAACUGGGUCUAAUACCGGAUAGGACCAUGGUUUAGUGUCUCAUGGUGGAAAAAUUAUUGUUUUGGUGCAGGAUGAGCUCGCGGCCUAUCAGCUUGUUGGUGGGGUAAUGGCCUACCAAGGCGUCGACGGGUAGCCGGCCUGAGAGGGUGGACGGCCACAUUGGGACUGAGAUACGGCCCAGACUCCUACGGGAGGCAGCAGUGGGGAAUAUUGCACAAUGGGCGCAAGCCUGAUGCAGCGACGCCGCGUGGGGGAUGACGGCCUUCGGGUGGUAAACUCCUUUCGUUAGGGACGAAGCCACACCUUUUUUGGGUGUGGUGACGGUACCUUUGUUAAGAAGCACCGGCUAACUACGUG